Molecule: transfer RNA, 87 nt
Filed under: bacterium
Lineage: Bacteria
Description: tRNA-Tyr
Rfam family: tRNA
About the family: Transfer RNA (tRNA) molecules are approximately 80 nucleotides in length. Their secondary structure includes four short double-helical elements and three loops (D, anti-codon, and T loops).
Source: RNAcentral
GGAGAGAUGGCCGAGUGGUUAAUGGCAGCAGACUGUAAAUCUGCCGCGCGUCGCGCUUCGUAGGUUCGAAUCCUGCUCUCUCCACCA